AUUACCACCAGAGAAGUCAAAAUGGCCUUGAUUAUACAGAAAGGAGGAGCUUCUCGGGUCAUUGCGAUUCCCAGUUUGAGGAUUUAAUGGAGCAGUGAGGUCUUGUAGCCCAGUUUGAGGAUUAAAUGGAGAAGUGAGGUCAUGUAGCCCAGUUUGAGGAUUAAAUGGAGCAGUGAGGUCUUGUAGCCCAGUUUGAGGAUUAAAUGGAGCAGUGAGGUCUUGUAGCCCAGUUUGAUGAUUAAAUGGAGCAGUGUGGUCUUGUAGCCCAGUUUGAGGAUUAAAUGGAGCAGUGUGGUCUUGUAGCCCAGUUUGAUGAUUAAAUGGAGCAGUGAGGUCUUGUAGCCCAGUUUGAGGAUUAAAUGGAGCAGUGAGGUCUUGUAGCCCAGUUUGGGGAUUUAAUGGAGCAGUGAGGUCUUGUAGCUCUAGGUAUAACUCCGAGUUUUCAACUAGGUCGUAAGAGGCCGUCCUUGGCAUGCUGCUCAACUCUGGUAGUCCGUUGAAAAUGCCUUCUUCUUCUAAGCAAACUGGAGCUGAGACACCGGGAUCAUAUCUUACCUGUAGAUUGAUUAAAUAUGAGAAUGUAUUUUGCAGAUACAAAAGAGCACAUAUUGAUGUUGGAGAACAAGCAGAUACAAAAGAGCACAUAUUGAUGUUGGAUACUAAGAUCGAAGAUAUAGCAAAGAAGCUUUGUCUAAUGGGUAACUACUACGUUCCAAUGCCACUAAAACACUUAACAGCUUUAAAGUAGCCUUGCUAGCUUAAGAACAUGCAGUGACACCGGCUUGUUAUCACUA
This 794-nucleotide long non-coding RNA is filed under the name Arabidopsis thaliana (thale cress). RNAcentral describes it as "long non-coding RNA (ATHA_LNC000355)". Lineage: Eukaryota; Viridiplantae; Streptophyta; Magnoliopsida; Brassicales; Brassicaceae. The record is from RNAcentral.